GGUGAGGUGGCAGAGAGGCUAUGCACGCGACUGCAGAUCGCGACCACGUCGGUUCAAAUCCGGCCCUCACCACCA
Molecule: transfer RNA, 75 nt
Filed under: Methanobacteriota archaeon
Lineage: Archaea; Methanobacteriati; Methanobacteriota
Also listed under: 5 other names
Description: Euryarchaeota archaeon tRNA-Cys
Rfam family: tRNA
About the family: Transfer RNA (tRNA) molecules are approximately 80 nucleotides in length. Their secondary structure includes four short double-helical elements and three loops (D, anti-codon, and T loops).
Source: RNAcentral